ACCCUGCGGCCUCCUCCCGGUUCCAGCCGCCACCGCCGCCGCCGCCGCCGCCCUCCCCGCGGCCGCCGCUACUUCCUGCUUCUCUCCGCUUCGGCCUCCCCUCUCCCUCAGCUCCCUCCGCGCUCCUAGUCCGGGCUGCCCGCUUUCAUACUCGCCAUUGGCUAAUGGACCCGUCACUCAACUGCGAGCCCCACCCAUCCCCGUACGGGAUUGGCUCUCCAUACCCCGCUCGGAACUGGCCCCUCAUAGUCUUCUCACCGCGAUUGGACAAAGAGCCUGGGCCCUGUGGAGAAGCCUCUCCCCAUUGGCUGCUCCGGAGUCCACCUGCCCCGUCUGAGCAGCCCGAAAGCCAUUGGCCGCCGCCGCUGUCGCUUAGCGAGAAGCCAGCCUUAGUCUCCGCUUUGGGUUGCGAGGGGUGACUAGCUAGCCCUGAAGCGUGGCCGUCCUCUCUCCAUUGGUCGCUCGAAGCCGGACACUGUGUCUCACGUAUGCAAACUUAGGAACUCUAGCUGUCUGGUGGCGCGUCUAGGGGAACCUCGUCGGCUCCCCGUGGAACCUGAGUGUUCGUGCCGUUCGUUACCUCUGGCUAAGCCGCGAUCGCAAGGAUGCGGUGCUGGGGGUCACAAAAUGGGGUGCCACCCCCAAACAUUACGUCAUCGGGGUGACCACGGCCUGACGUUCCUCACCGUCUAAAUGGCUUUAUAAUCCGGACGGAUGCGGUUCUGGCGUCCGCCUGCCUCUGGGCGUACGCACCACGCACAGCUCCUCCCUCUGCGGGAGAGCCGGACAGACUUUGGGAUUCAGAGUGUAAAAGAAACCGGAACCACCGAGACCUGAGACCUGGGACACGCUGCGACCGGAAGUGGGGGAGGUGACGUUGGGAAGUGCUGGCGUGGCCUGGGCCACAACCCAGGAGAGCUUAAGGAGCUGGCACGACUGUCCCCGUUGAGCUUUCCCGCGCUUUACUGCCCCGCCCCUUGGAGGCGGGGAAGGGGGCGGAGUCGCAAGGGAGAAGCACUCGCCCACUUGCCCUGCUUCAGGUUUUUGCAGGAUCCAUCUGCACGCCCAGUGGGCCACCUGGCGCGCACUCUACUCUGGCCGCGCGCCGCCACCGCUCACCGCGACCGCAGCCGUCUCAAAUGACAAGGGUUUUUAAAUUUUUGCUUUAUUUUCACUUUUUUGCAGUGUUCAGAGUGGAACCUAAGUGCUUCACUCAGUCCAAGCAAGCAACCCACCAACAUAGCAACUUGGCGAGUCUUUUUUAUUGAACGUUGGGAGUCGCACACGCUAGGGCAGGUGCACUCGUAACACUGAAGCUACACUAUACCCUAUCACCUUUUGGGACAGGGUUCCCACUAAGUUGUCCUGCCUGCCUAGUAACUGGGGCUACACAGCAGUGCCAUCAGGCCCAGGUUUGGGUGAAGCUUUUAAAAGAAGGCUCUGUUACCUGCCCUUGGACCCCAAAAGUUCAGGCUUAUGGAUGGGAGGAAUCUUGGAACCACCACAUUCCACAUGAUGCCAUCAGGCAAAUCUUUCUACCUCCCUGAACCUAUUGUCUCAUAAAUAAAAUAGUAACUGUAAUAUC
Mastomys coucha (southern multimammate mouse) is the source of this 1585-nucleotide long non-coding RNA. RefSeq lists it as uncharacterized. Lineage: Eukaryota; Metazoa; Chordata; Mammalia; Rodentia; Muridae. The record is from RefSeq and is a predicted model, not a curated record. The transcript is spliced from 2 exons.